GAUGAACGCUGGCGGCGUGCCUAAUGCAUGCAAGUCGAGCGAACAGACGAGGAGCUUGCUCCUCUGUCGUUAGCGGCGGACGGGUGAGUAACACGUGGAUAACCUACCUAUAAGACUGGGAUAACUUCGGGAAACCGGAGCUAAUACCGGAUAAUAUAUUGAACCGCAUGGUUCAAUAGUGAAAGACGGUUUUGCUGUCACUUAUAGAUGGAUCCGCGCCGCAUUAGCUAGUUGGUAAGGUAACGGCUUACCAAGGCAACGAUGCGUAGCCGACCUGAGAGGGUGAUCGGCCACACUGGAACUGAGACACGGUCCAGACUCCUACGGGGGGCAGCAGUAGGGAAUCUUCCGCAAUGGGCGAAAGCCUGACGGAGCAACGCCGCGUGAGUGAUGAAGGUCUUCGGAUCGUAAAACUCUGUUAUUAGGGAAGAACAAAUGUGUAAGUAACUAUGCACGUCUUGACGGUACCUAAUCAGAAAGCCACGGCUAACUACGUG
RNAcentral lists this ribosomal RNA (497 nucleotides) under uncultured bacterium. RNAcentral's name for it is "partial 16S ribosomal RNA". It matches the Rfam family "Bacterial small subunit ribosomal RNA", at positions 28 to 507 of the family's 1533-position model. The record is from RNAcentral.